This is a long non-coding RNA of Dendrobium catenatum, 343 nucleotides long. RefSeq lists it as uncharacterized. The record is from RefSeq and is a predicted model, not a curated record. The transcript has 2 exons. NCBI's taxonomy places the organism in Eukaryota, Viridiplantae, Streptophyta, Magnoliopsida, Asparagales, Orchidaceae.
AAUUGGAUAGUUACAGAAGGUGACGAUGAGUUCAUUCAAUCCGGAGAUGAAUGGGCUAGGAGAAGUCACAGUAGAAGAGGUGAUCAAGCAGCUGUAGAUGAUUCUCGAGAAUGGCUAGAUAAAAGAGAUGAAAUUGCUCAAUUCAUGUGAACUCGCAUGCAAAAUGAUGCUACCAUGGUGAUUAUUGGGGGAAAAGUCUUUUGGCCUUUUUGGGUGUUUUGCUGGUGUCUUUUUAUGUUUAAGUGGGCUUUUGUAUCUUCCUAUUGCUUGAGGGGCUGAUCAGUCUUUGUCUUGUUCAUGGACUUAUAUAAUAACUUGAUGGAGCAAACAUCUUAUGUUUGUA